UUAGUAUCUCUUGUUCAAAGUUCUCAAGUACAUUUUAUGUUUUCUUGCAGCUGAGAUAGCUUGGCAUCAAAUGAGAAAAGAAUGGGUUGGUAAUCGAUCCAAAAAAUUGGAAAGACCUCCUAAAGAUUCAAUUGUGAGCUUAACAACAAGUUAUGAGGAUCUACUUUUGUCCACAGCGCCUUUUCAACAGCCAAUAUCAUUAACUGAGAUGGUUGAUUUUUUAGUAGAUUUUUGGCACGAAGAAGGUCUCUAUGAUUAAAUUUCAUAUUAUUAUUGUAAGCUUCGGUAAGAAUCUUGCACGGUUUUGUUUGUAAUUGUGCUGAUUGUUGCUGAGGCAAACAAGUUUUGGACAAGUUCGUGGAAGAUCCCCAUACCAUUGGAUUGAUUAUUAUGAUAGUAAAGUUUAUUCUCUUGAUAACAAAAA
Non-coding RNA from Vigna umbellata (rice bean), 424 nucleotides. The record is from RefSeq and is a predicted model, not a curated record. NCBI's taxonomy places the organism in Eukaryota, Viridiplantae, Streptophyta, Magnoliopsida, Fabales, Fabaceae.